Molecule: ribosomal RNA, 216 nt
Filed under: Glomeromycotina sp.
Lineage: Eukaryota; Fungi; Glomeromycota
Description: partial small subunit ribosomal RNA
Rfam family: Eukaryotic small subunit ribosomal RNA (bases 40-216)
Source: RNAcentral
GGGUCAGUAGGUUGGUCGUGCCACCGGUACGUACUGGCCUCACUGAUUCCUCCUUCCUGAAGAACCGUAAUGCCAUUAAUUUGGUGUUGCGGGGAAACAGGACUGUUACUUCGAAAAAAUUAGAGUGUUUAAAGCAAGCUAACGCUUGAAUACAUUAGCAUGGAAUAAUGAAAUAGGACGAUCGAUCCUAUUUUGUUGGUUUCUAGGAUUGACGUA